AACGCACAUUGCGCCCUUUGGUAUUCCAAAGGGCAUGCCUGUUCGAGCGUCAUUUGUACCUUCAAGCACUGCUUGGUGUUGGGUGUUUGUCCCUGUUCUACACAUGGACUCGCCUCAAAGCUAUUGGCAGCCGGCAAACAGCCUUGGAGCGCAGCACAUUUUUGCGCCCCUUUUGCUGGAACGUUGGCGUCCAUCAAGCCUACACUUUUGCUCUUGACCUCGGAUCAGGUAGGGAUACCCGCUGAACUUAA
This 251-nucleotide unclassified non-coding RNA is filed under the name uncultured fungus. RNAcentral's name for it is "partial contains 5.8S ribosomal RNA, internal transcribed spacer 2, and large subunit ribosomal RNA". The stretch from base 1 to 52 matches the Rfam family "5.8S ribosomal RNA", at positions 103 to 154 of the family's 154-position model. Lineage: Eukaryota; Fungi. The record is from RNAcentral.